Molecule: ribosomal RNA, 480 nt
Filed under: uncultured bacterium
Lineage: Bacteria
Description: bacterial SSU rRNA
Rfam family: Bacterial small subunit ribosomal RNA
Source: RNAcentral
AUUGAACGCUGGCGGCAUGCUUUACACAUGCAAGUCGAACGGCAGCGGGGGCUUCGGCCCGCCGGCGAGUGGCGAACGGGUGAGUAAUGCAUCGGAACGUGCCCAGUCGUGGGGGAUAACACAUCGAAAGAUGUGCUAAUACCGCAUACGUCCUGAGGGAGAAAGCGGGGGAUCUUCGGACCUCGCGCGAUUGGAGCGGCCGAUGUCGGAUUAGCUAGUUGGUGGGGUAAAGGCCCACCAAGGCGACGAUCAGUAGCCGGCCUGAGAGGGUGGACGGCCACACUGGGACUGAGACACGGACCAGACUCCUACGGGAGGCAGCAGUGAGGAAUAUUGGUCAAUGGACGCAAGUCUGAACCAGCCACGUCGCGUGAAGGAAGACGGCCCUACGGGUUGUAAACUUCUUUUAUACGGGGAAUAAAGUGCCCCACGCGUGGGGUUUUGCAUGUACCGUAUGAAUAAGGAUCGGCUAACUCCGUG